UUAACUGAAACCAAAAUUAGAGGUAUAUUACUGUUAAUAAUAAAAAUGAAUAUUAAUAUUCCAGUUAAG
Molecule: transfer RNA, 69 nt
Filed under: Panesthia sloanei
Lineage: Eukaryota; Metazoa; Arthropoda; Insecta; Blattodea; Blaberidae
Description: tRNA-Asn
Source: RNAcentral